Molecule: long non-coding RNA, 490 nt
Filed under: Rattus norvegicus (Norway rat)
Lineage: Eukaryota; Metazoa; Chordata; Mammalia; Rodentia; Muridae
Description: long non-coding RNA NONRATT016052
Source: RNAcentral
AAUGACUGUAUUAGUGUUUUCUAGAACAACAGAUUCUAUAGAAUGAGAGGGAGGGGGCAUUUAUUAGAAUGGUCUACAAGCUGUGAUCUAGCUAAUCUAGCAAUCCACACACUGAAAGUCUGAGAAUCUAAUAGUUGUACAUUCCAUGAUGCUGCAUGUUUUAGCUGGUCUUCAAUGUAUGCAUGUGUUCCAACACGUAUGUCCUAAUGCCACUGAAGGAAUGGACUCACCAACAAAAGCACAAGUGGACACACAAAGAGAAGGGGCUUCCUUCUUAACAUCUUCUAUAUAGGCUGCCAGUAGAAGGUUAAGGCUAUAUUAAAGGUUGAUCUUCCCACCCCAAAAGAUCUGGAUUAAGAGUGGGUCUUCCCAUUUCAAAAUAUUUAAUUACGGGGGAAAAAGUCUCUCACAGGUAUCCCCAGAUCUUGGGUUUUGGUUAAUUUCUGCUGUUGUCAAGUUGACAAACAAAAAUAAACACUACAGUGACCAA